AUGCACGACGGUGUUGGUCGACGGCGACGAUGCCUUUUUGUUGCUGCAACCAUAUUGGAGUUUGCUGGAAUCGGCGCGCAAAUUUGCUACCAUCGCUUUGCUGGAAGGAACCGCCUAAAAUGCUUCCACGCCCACAGGAUUUGGUUUUUGCUGGAACCCUCUCCAAAGAAUUCUACCACCGGCCUUUUUGUCUACGAGCCAUGUCGUUGUCUUCCAUUUGAUGCUGCCACCGGGAGUGGGUGUGCGGUUUGGCAUCCAUUGUGCGACAAGCUACAACCGAGGGUCCACAACAAUUUUUGUUACAACUGUCAUCGAUGUUUGCUACAACUGACUACGGAAUUUGCUGUGACGACAUUGGCCAGGCCUUUGCGACCAGCAAGGUGUCUUCCUCCGCAUGGCGACAGUGAGCCCGGGUUGGCCGGCGAGUGCACGGCGGCCGAGGGCGAGCGUGGCGGGCAUGCUCCCUUUGUGAUUUUUCAUACGGAAAGGAUACGUCAGGGAGUAAAGAGAGAUGCAUCAAUAAAGGAGCAAAUGGCUAUUGGUUUUAAGUACAUAAUUGUUGGUUACUCGUGCUUCUUUGUGUUAUAUAGGUACGUCGAUAAACAUGGGUAUGCGAUUGAGAGGUUCAUUAGGAUUAAGCAUGUUGGUGAUACAAGAGCGGCUUCUCUAAAAGCAGCUUUGGAUGAAAAUUUAACACAAAGAACCACAGCAGGUGGCUUGAUAUCUCAUAUGGAAAGUUUUGAAUUUGUUUUCAUAUUGCAUCUUAUGAUCAAACUAUUGGGCAAGACUACUGAGUUGUCACAAUGUUUGCAAAGGAAGGAUCAAAACAUUGUUCUAGCAGAGAGUUUGAUUGGGACCACACUGUGGCAACUUCAAAAUACAAGAGAAAAUGGUUGGGAACAGCUCUUGAAGGACACAACUGACUUUUGUGUUAAACAUAGCAUUAUAUUGCCUAACGUGGAUGAUACAAUACCCGCUCGUGGUCGUUCAAGGGGGCGUGGGGGUCAAAUGUUAAAUAACCGCUUUGCUGAAAGAUCUACUCAAUUGUUGAGAUGCAUUGCUUGUCUUGAUCCAAGGAACUCAUUUGCUAAUUUUGAUGAAGACAAACUUGUUCAACUUGCUGAGAUAUGGUUCACAUUGAUAGACACAUGGUUUUUUCUUUGGUAUCGUCUUACUGAGUUGGCAUUAAUUUUGCAUGUUGCAACCCCAUCAGUGGAAAGAGCUUUCUCGGCUAUGAGUAUUAUCAAGACUGAGUUGAGGAAUAAGAUGGGUGAUGAUUGGUUGAAUUAUUCCAUGUUGUGCAAUAUUGAACGAGAAAUAUUUGCAAAGGUUGUUGAUGAUGAUGAUGCUAUUAUAUAUCGCUUUCAAUCCUAUAAAACUCGCGAAGGAAUUCUACCUCCUCGUAGUAUUAUUUUUCGUGCACAAGAGCACGUGCUCCCAGGUAGACCUGUGCAUGAGCAGCCCGGCCCAAAGGCCCGAGCCCGGCAUCCGGGCCAGGCCCGGGCUCCAUUUUUCCGCCCGAAGCCCGGCCUGAAAUCCUGA
This 1542-nucleotide ribosomal RNA is filed under the name Triticum aestivum (bread wheat). RNAcentral's name for it is "partial small subunit ribosomal RNA". Lineage: Eukaryota; Viridiplantae; Streptophyta; Magnoliopsida; Poales; Poaceae. The record is from RNAcentral.